This 253-nucleotide ribosomal RNA is filed under the name uncultured bacterium. RNAcentral's name for it is "partial 16S ribosomal RNA". It matches the Rfam family "Bacterial small subunit ribosomal RNA", at positions 524 to 776 of the family's 1533-position model. The record is from RNAcentral.
UACAGAGGAGCCAAGCGUUGUUCGGAAUUACUGGGCGUAAAGCGCGUGUAGGCGGUUGUCAAAGUCGGGUGUGAAAGCCUUGAGCUUAACUCAAGAAAUGCACUCGAUACUUGGUGACUAGAGGACCGGAGAGGAUAGUGGAAUUCCCAGUGUAGUGGUGAAAUACGUAGAGAUUGGGAAGAACACCAGUGGCGAAGGCGGCUAUCUGGACGGUUUCUGACGCUAAGACGCGAAAGCGUGGGGAGCAAACAGG